Molecule: unclassified non-coding RNA, 280 nt
Filed under: Hevea brasiliensis (rubber tree)
Lineage: Eukaryota; Viridiplantae; Streptophyta; Magnoliopsida; Malpighiales; Euphorbiaceae
Source: RNAcentral
GAAAGGACAUGGCUGAAGUUGUGCAGAACAAGGUUAUGCAGUUUCUGAAUGGGAGAAAUGGAGAAUUGAAGCUUCGUUUUGAGAGAGAGUUAAAGGCUGGGAAAUUUAGCGGUUUUCAUGCUGAAUGUCUCACUGAUACUUGGAUUGGAAAUCACAGGUGGGCAUUUAUUGAUUUGACUGCGGGCCCUUUUUCAUGGGGACCUGCUGUGGGUGGAGAAGGUGUGCGCACAGAACUAAGUUUACCAAAUGUGGAGAAAACCAUCGGUGCGGUUGCAGAAAU